GGUGACUGCGUACCUUUUGUAUAAUGGGUCAGCGACUUAUAUUCUGUAGCAAGGUUAACCGUAUAGGGGAGCCGAAGGGAAACCGAGUCUUAACUGGGCGUUAAGUUGCAGGGUAUAGACCCGAAACCCGGUGAUCUAGCCAUGGGCAGGUUGAAGGUUGGGUAACACUAACUGGAGGACCGAACCGACUAAUGUUGAAAAAUUAGCGGAUGACUUGUGGCUGGGGGUGAAAGGCCAAUCAAACCGGGAGAUAGCUGGUUCUCCCCGAAAGCUAUUUAGGUAGCGCCUCGUGAAUUCAUCUUCGGGGGUAGAGCACUGUUUCGGCUAGGGGGUCAUCCCGACUUACCAACCCGAUGCAAACUGCGAAUACCGAAGAAUGUUAUCACGGGAGACACACGGCGGGUGCUAACGUCCGUCGUGAAGAGGGAAACAACCCAGACCGCCAGCUAAGGUCCCAAAGUCAUGGUUAAGUGGGAAACGAUGUGGGAAGGCACAGACAGCCAGGAUGUUGGCUUAGAAGCAGCCAUCAUUUAAAGAAAGCGUAAUAGCUCACUGGUCGAGUCGGCCUGCGCGGAAGAUGUAACGGGGCUAAACCAUGCACCGAAGCUGCGGCAGCGACACUAUGUGUUGUUGGGUAGGGGAGCGUUCUGUAAGCCGUUGAAGGUGUACUGUGAGGUAUGCUGGAGGUAUCAGAAGUGCGAAUGCUGACAUAAGUAACGAUAAUGCGGGUGAAAAACCCGCACGCCGGAAGACCAAGGGUUCCUGUCCAACGUUAAUCGGGGCAGGGUGAGUCGACCCCUAAGGCGAGGCCGAAAGGCGUAGUCGAUGGGAAACAGGUUAAUAUUCCUGUACUUGGUGUUACUGCGAAGGGGGGACGGAGAAGGCUAUGUUAGCCGGGCGACGGUUGUCCCGGUUUAAGCAUGUAGGCGGAGGUUCCAGGUAAAUCCGGUACCUUUUUAACGCUGAGGUGUGAUGACGAGGCACUACGGUGCUGAAGUAACAAAUGCCCUGCUUCCAGGAAAAGCCUCUAAGCAUCAGGUAACAUCAAAUCGUACCCCAAACCGACACAGGUGGUCAGGUAGAGAAUACCAAGGCGCUUGAGAGAACUCGGGUGAAGGAACUA
RNAcentral lists this ribosomal RNA (1123 nucleotides) under Citrobacter freundii. RNAcentral describes it as "partial 23S ribosomal RNA". It matches the Rfam family "Bacterial large subunit ribosomal RNA", at positions 592 to 1715 of the family's 2925-position model. The record is from RNAcentral. Lineage: Bacteria; Pseudomonadati; Pseudomonadota; Gammaproteobacteria; Enterobacterales; Enterobacteriaceae.